UUUCCGCAGGUGAACCUGCGGAAGGAUCAUUAUUGUAUAACCGAGGUGCGAGGGCUGUCGCUGACCCGAAAGGUCGUGCACGCCCGAGUGCCCUCACUCACAUCCAUCUCACCCCUAUGUGCACCACCGCGUGGGUCCCCCUUUGGCUUGUUCGGAGGGGGGCUUACGUUUUCACACAAACUUUGUAUGCAGUGUAGAAUGUAUUUUUUGUUUUUGCGAUCACGCAAUCAAUACAACUUUCAACAACGGAUCUCUUGGCUCUC
Molecule: unclassified non-coding RNA, 263 nt
Filed under: plant metagenome
Description: partial contains small subunit ribosomal RNA, internal transcribed spacer 1, and 5.8S ribosomal RNA
Source: RNAcentral